This 482-nucleotide ribosomal RNA is filed under the name uncultured bacterium. Its description in RNAcentral is "partial 16S ribosomal RNA". It matches the Rfam family "Bacterial small subunit ribosomal RNA", at positions 30 to 507 of the family's 1533-position model. The record is from RNAcentral.
AUUGAACGCUGGCGGCAUGCCUUACACAUGCAAGUCGAACGGUAACGGGCCUUCGGGUGCCGACGAGUGGCGGACGGGUGAGUAAUACAUCGGAACGUGCCCGAUCGUGGGGGAUAACGAGGCGAAAGCUUUGCUAAUACCGCAUACGAUCUACGGAUGAAAGCAGGGGACCGCAAGGCCUUGCGAGGCCGGAGCGGCCGAUGGCAGAUUAGGUAGUUGGUGGGAUAAAAGCUUACCAAGCCGACGAUCUGUAGCUGGUCUGAGAGGAUGAUCCGCCACACUGGGACUGAGACACGGCCCAGACUCCUACGGGAGGCAGCAGUGGGGAAUUUUGGACAAUGGGCGCAAGCCUGAUCCAGCCAUGCCGCGUGCAGGAUGAAGGCCUUCGGGUUGUAAACUGCUUUUGUACGGAACGAAAAGCCUUCUUUUAAUACAGGAGGGUCAUGACGGUACCGUAAGAAUAAGCACCGGCUAACUACGUG